GCGGGCGUGGUGUAGCCUGGCAUCACGUGGCCCUGCCACGGCCAAGACCCGGGUUCAAAUCCCGGCGCCCGCACCA
RNAcentral lists this transfer RNA (76 nucleotides) under Candidatus Aciduliprofundum sp. Its description in RNAcentral is "Aciduliprofundum sp. tRNA-Gly". It matches the Rfam family "tRNA". Rfam says of the family: Transfer RNA (tRNA) molecules are approximately 80 nucleotides in length. Their secondary structure includes four short double-helical elements and three loops (D, anti-codon, and T loops). Further hydrogen bonds mediate the characteristic L-shaped molecular structure. tRNAs have two regions of fundamental functional importance: the anti-codon, which is responsible for specific mRNA codon recognition, and the 3' end, to which the tRNAs corresponding amino acid is attached (by aminoacyl-tRNA synthetases). tRNAs cope with the degeneracy of the genetic code in two manners: having more than one tRNA (with a specific anti-codon) for a particular amino acid; and 'wobble' base-pairing, i.e. permitting non-standard base-pairing at the 3rd anti-codon position. The record is from RNAcentral. Lineage: Archaea; Methanobacteriati; Thermoplasmatota.